UAGGGAAUCUUCCACAAUGGGUGCAAACCUGAUGGAGCAAUGCCGCGUGAGUGAAGAAGGUCUUCGGAUCGUAAAGCUCUGUUGUUAGAGAAGAACACGUGCUAGGUAACUACUAGCGCCUUGACGGUAUCUAACCAGAAAGUCACGGCUAACUACGUGCCAGCAGCCGCGGUAAUACGUAGGUGACAAGCGUUGUCCGGAUUUAUUGGGCGUAAAGGGAGCGCAGGCGGUCUGUUUAGUCUAAUGUGAAAGCCCACGGCUUAACCGGGGGAGGGCAUUGGAAACUGUCAGACUUGAAUGUAGAAGAGGAAAAUGGAAUUCCAAGUGUAGCGGUGGAAUGCGUAGAUAUUUGGAGGAACACCAGUGGCGAAGGCGAUUUUCUGGUCUA
RNAcentral lists this ribosomal RNA (388 nucleotides) under uncultured bacterium. Its description in RNAcentral is "bacterial SSU rRNA". It matches the Rfam family "Bacterial small subunit ribosomal RNA", at positions 355 to 736 of the family's 1533-position model. The record is from RNAcentral.